RNAcentral lists this ribosomal RNA (386 nucleotides) under uncultured bacterium. RNAcentral describes it as "bacterial SSU rRNA". It matches the Rfam family "Bacterial small subunit ribosomal RNA", at positions 29 to 416 of the family's 1533-position model. The record is from RNAcentral.
AUUGAACGCUGGCGGCAUGCCUUACACAUGCAAGUCGAACGGCAGCACGGGAGCAAUCCUGGUGGCGAGUGGCGAACGGGUGAGUAAUAUAUCGGAACGUGCCCAGUAGUGGGGGAUAGCCCGGCGAAAGCCGGAUUAAUACCGCAUGAGACCUGAGGGUGAAAGCGGGGGAUCGCAAGACCUCGCGCUAUUGGAGCGGCCGAUAUCAGAUUAGCUAGUUGGUGGGGUAAAGGCCUACCAAGGCAACGAUCUGUAGUUGGUCUGAGAGGACGACCAGCCACACUGGGACUGAGACACGGCCCAGACUCCUACGGGAGGCAGCAGUGGGGAAUUUUGGACAAUGGGCGCGAGCCUGAUCCAGCAAUGCCGCGUGCAGGAAGAAGGCC